Long non-coding RNA from Fukomys damarensis (Damara mole-rat), 748 nucleotides. RefSeq lists it as uncharacterized. The transcript has 5 exons. Lineage: Eukaryota; Metazoa; Chordata; Mammalia; Rodentia; Bathyergidae. The record is from RefSeq and is a predicted model, not a curated record.
GUAUUCGCCAUACCAAGGAUUGGGCAGAUAGCAAAAGACAGUAAGUACACAUCAGUGGAAUACAGAAUUAUUCCCACACCAAGGACAACAGAAGAUCGAAGAUGGCCUUAACCCAGCAGAGGGCAAGAUGCUGGGAAGGAUUUCUGGAGAGCACCACAUUUCAUCGAGUUAUAAAAAUUAGUAGGAAUGACCCAGAAGGAAUAUGUGUGCAGGGUUCCUUCCCAUGCCUUCCACGUCACCUAGAGUAAAGCCUGGAGCUCUUACCAGUCCUAGAAGAGGCCCUGGAUUGGCUCCCUGCAGCCCUGGAUUGGCUCUGGCAUUGCAACCCUCUUCCCUUCAUCCGCUCUCCCUUGUUGUUCCACAGACACCCAACCACACUUCUGUUCCAGACAGCCCUUUUCUACAGAACCUCCAACUACUUCAGGAAGAGAAGAAGGAAUAGAAGGGAAAAAUCCACUCUUCUGUAGAUCUGCUUUCCAACUGGGAUUAGCCAUAUCAUAAGCAAGACAUUAGAAAGAGGCACUUGGAAGCGUCCUGAGACUUGAAGCCAUUGCCCUCAAGAAGCCCUCAUCCCUGUGCUUCCCUCAGAAGCUCCCUUCCCUCCCUGGUAAAGAAGCCAUAUUGACACAACCCAGCAAGAAAUCACGUGAUUGCUGACCUCAAAAAAUGACUAUGCUUCCUACUUCAAGAUGGCCUGAGUUGGAGUGUAAGAUAGAGAACCUGUGUUAAAGGAACAGUGACCUUAUCC